RNAcentral lists this small RNA (2473 nucleotides) under Rattus norvegicus (Norway rat). RNAcentral describes it as "uncharacterized LOC102555924". The record is from RNAcentral. Lineage: Eukaryota; Metazoa; Chordata; Mammalia; Rodentia; Muridae.
UCUCAACCAUUGAGCCAUCUCUCCAGCCCUACCACGUGGAUUCUCAUGGAUUGAACUCAAGCUUGGUAGCAAAUGCUCUUACCCACAGAACCGUCGUGCCAGCCCAGAGACCCUGACAUUUAAGUAAAAACAAAAACGAAACAAAACAGAAAACAGAACCAACCCAGAAAGCGCUUCCUCUCACUAGAAUGGAAUAGAAACUUCCAUAUUGGGGAAGCCACAGGGUGCCAUGGAGAUGUGCUUUAUUUAGUGAGCCUCUCACUUAGGGUUUCUAUUGAUCUGACCCAAUGCAUGACCAAAAGCAACUUACUGAUCUCUCUUCCUCUUCCACAUCGUAGCCAGUUAUCAAAGGAUGCUGGGUUAGGAACCUGAAGGCAGGGACUGAAGCAGAGGACACAGAAGAACACCGACUCCUUGCAUCUUGAUCAGCCUAGAUUCUUAGACCAAUCAGGACCAUCUCACCAGCCAACACCCUGUCUUUUAUUUUUGAAGUUGGUUUCAUUUUGCCAUGCUGUGGGUCAGGAUGACCUUGAUUUCGAUAUCCCAGCCACCACCUCCUGAGUCCUGGCAUUACAGUCUUUAAGAGCCUUGACAUUCCGGAAAGCAUCCGGGACUGGACAAUGAGGUUCAAGACAAAGCCAGCUUCAGUGAUGCCGGCCCUCACCAUGGAAGGGAACGCGGACAGAAUUCACCAGCAAUUAAUCAGAUGCGUCUGGUGCACACAGCAGGUGCCUCAUAAGCACCUGAAUGGAUGGACAGUAGCAGACACUGUAGCUCACACCCACUUCAUGCCUUUAGUUUUAUUCCGAGCUGCUCACUGUGGGGUGAUUGGCUUUGUGGUGGGCAAACGGUGAGGGGAUACAACUGGCGUCCUCGAGGAAUGAUCAGUGCUUGCAGAGAGCCUGGAGAGGGACACCAGCCGAUGUUCUCAGAGCCUAGCGUCAUGGUGCACACACAUAAUCCCAACCCUUGAGAGGAUAAGAAGGCAGACCCAAGAGCCUGAGGCCACCUGAGCUGUAUAACAAGAACCAAAGAAGCUACAAAGACAAAGCUCAGCGGAACAGUACUAGCCUAGCAUGCCUGACGCCCUGGAUUCCUAUCCCCCUGCACUGUCAAGAAAAGAGACCCCUGAAAGCCCAUUCCAGCACAUUUCUGUAACAUCACCCAGUUCAAGUGAGGAACCAUUCUCAGUAUCAGGGACUUUUCUAAAAGAAAAAUUUCCUAGGAAAAAUUUGGUCUCCCCGAGAGCUCUCUGUAGCUGGAAACAUUGAUAGACAAGUAGUCUUGUUUAACAGAGCUCCGGCUAGGACUAGCAAGCUCCCCACUUGGGCACCCUUCGGACCUUAGCCCUCUUCUGGGCUGUGGUGGAUAGUCUUCCUGUGGAGCAGAGGAAGACCUGAGCCAGUGAAGUGUAUUUUGACACGGGCAUGGCUGUGUCAAGGAAGCCCAAGGCCUUGGCCCAUGGGACAAUUGACAAAGCCAUCCCUCCUAUGGCUCAUGCUCAAGAGAAAUAGCCAAGCUUUUCUCAGGAAUCUGAGUGUGAGUGGUUAUGGAUGAUUGAUCAAGGUAUGCAAAGACUUGGAACUAUGGCUUCCUUCUCCUGGGUGUUUACAGCCUGAGACUGCUGACUACAGAGACCUCCCAAAGAGACAAGUUAACCUUUGCCCACCCCUUCCCCGUGCUGUACCUAAUUAGCACAUUGGGGAUACAGCUUGCUGUUAGCAGAACCCUUCCUGGUCCGAGCUUUACUGCAUGAGUGUCUGUGUGUCUGUCCUUUCCUCAUUACUAUGGUGCCACUCCUUGCCAGGGUGAUUGGACCCAAGCCAUGAAGGUUGGGUGGGAUUGGAUUAAGAGCCCCAUAGAGAGAUGACGUCUAAUCUUCUGGGCGUGACCCUGUGAGUGUUUCCAGAGAACAAUUAGCACGUGGGUGAGUGAACUAAGAGGGUAGAGACUCUGUGUGAGACUGUGAUGACGCCACAGGCUUUUACAAAUUUGUCCAGAUGUGUAGACUAUAGAACACCAUGAGCGGAGUCUAAUGAACAUCAAGUACAGUGAGUGACAGUGGUGUGCUGUUAUGAGUUCAUCAGUAACAAAUAUAUCAGUCUGAUGAGGACGCUGAUAUGAGGAUGCUACACAUGGGUGGAGGCAAGGAACAUAUGGGAAAUUCCAGUACCCUUUUUUUUUUAAAUUCAAAUUUACUAUCAACAUAAACUUGCUUUAAAAUUGUAGUCUUGGUCUGGAGAGAUGUCUCAGCAGUUAAGAGAGCUGGCUGCUCUCCCAGAAGACCUGGUUUGGUUCCCAGUACCCACACGGUGGCUCACAGCUAACUGUAGCUCCUGUUCCAGGGGAGCUGAUGUCUUCUGAUCUCAGUGAAAGUCAGGCAUGCAUGUGGUGUCCAGACAGGCAUGAGUGCAAAACACCUUAAAAAAAAAAUAGAAUAAUAUCUAAGAACUAAAUAAAAAGAACUGCUCUU